UGAGACUCUGUGCGCGUGCAUAUCAAUAAGCGGAGGAAAAGAAACUAACAAGGAUUCCCCUAGUAACGGCGAGUGAAGCGGGAAGAGCUCAAAUUUGAAAUCUUAAAGGGUUUCCCUUUACGAAUUGUAGUUUAAAGAAGUGUUUUCUGUUGGAGUUUCGGUAAAAGUUCUUUGGAAUAGGACAUCAUAGAGGGUGAGAAUCCCGUAUUUGACCGUUACUUUCCAGCUGUGUGAUACACUUUCAAAGAGUCGGAUUGUUUGGGAAUGCAGUCCAAGAUGGGUGGUAAAUUUCAGUCUAAAGCUAAAUAUUGGCGAGAGACCGAUAGCGAACAAGUACCGUGAGGGAAAGAUGAAAAGAACUUUGAAAAGAGAGUUAAACAGUACGUGAAAUUGUCAAAAGGGAAGCGUUUGACACCAGUGUUGUUUAGUUGAAAAUCAAUUCAAUAGUUUUUGAUUUUAAGUAGUAUUGACUUCAUCAGCUUGCUGCUUUCUUUUCCGAAAUUAUUGAAUGCACUUUUCAGUUAACAAGUCAACAUCAAUUUCUUUUGUUGUAAAAGGGUAAGAGGAAGGUGGCUUACGCUUCGGCGUAAGUGUUUAUAGCCUUUUACCUCUGCAAUCGGAGAGAUUGAGGACAGCAGCGUAGACUCCUUCGGGGUUAGAUACACUUGUGCUAAGCUAUAGCCUUGUAUAGACAACUUGUUGACUAUGCUCAGUCAUGUAGCUUACUCGCUUGUGCUAUUUUACCUACGCUUAGGAUGUUGACAGCAGUAUAGACUGU
RNAcentral lists this ribosomal RNA (778 nucleotides) under uncultured Neocallimastigales. RNAcentral's name for it is "partial large subunit ribosomal RNA". It matches the Rfam family "Eukaryotic large subunit ribosomal RNA", at positions 23 to 638 of the family's 3401-position model. Lineage: Eukaryota; Fungi; Neocallimastigomycota; Neocallimastigomycetes; Neocallimastigales. The record is from RNAcentral.